CCUGGUUGAUUCUGCCAGUAGUCAUAUGCUUGUCUUAAAGAUUAAGCCAUGCAUGUCUAAGUAUAAGCAAUUAUACAGCGAAACUGCGAAUGGCUCAUUAAAUCAGGUUAUCGUUUAUUUGAUAGUACCUUACUACAUGGAUAACCGUGGUAAUUCUAGAGCUAAUACAUGCUAAAAACCCCGACUUCGGAAGGGGUGUAUUUAUUAGAUUAAAAACCAAUGCCCUUCGGGGCUCACUGGUGAUUCAUGAUAACUUCUCGAAUCGCACGGCCUUGCGCCGGCGAUGGUUCAUUCAAAUUUCUGCCCUAUCAACUUUCGACGGCUGGGUCUUGGCCAGCCGUGGUGACAACGGGUAACGGAGGGUUAGGGCUCGACCCCGGAGAAAACGCCUGAGAAACGGCGUUUACAUCCAAGGAAGGCAGCAGGCGCGCAAAUUACCCAAUGCCGACACGGCGAGGUAGUGACGAGAAAUACUGAUACAGGGCUCUUUUGGGUCUUGUAAUUGGAAUGAGUACAAUUUAAAUCUCUUAACGAGGAACAAUUGGAGGGCAAGUCUGGUGCCAGCAGCCGCGGUAAUUCCAGCUCCAAUAGCGUAUAUUAAAGUUGUUGCAGUUAAAAAGCUCGUAGUUGAACCUUGGGCCUGGCUGGCCGGUCCGCCUCACCGCGUGCACUGGUCCGGCCGGGCCUUUCCCUCUGGGGAACCGCAUGCCCUUCACUGGGCGUGUCGGGGAACCAGGACUUUUACUUUGAAAAAAUUAGAGUGUUCAAAGCAGGCCUAUGCUCGAAUACAUUAGCAUGGAAUAAUAGAAUAGGACGUGUGGUUCUAUUUUGUUGGUUUCUAGGACCGCCGUAAUGAUUAAUAGGGACAGUCGGGGGCAUCAGUAUUCAAUUGUCAGAGGUGAAAUUCUUGGAUUUAUUGAAGACUAACUACUGCGAAAGCAUUUGCCAAGGAUGUUUUCAUUAAUCAGGAACGAAAGUUAGGGGAUCGAAGACGAUCAGAUACCGUCGUAGUCUUAACCAUAAACUAUGCCGACUAGGGAUCGGACGGUGUUAUUUUUUGACCCGUUCGGCACCUUACACGAAAGUACAAGUUUCUGGGUUCUGGGGGGAGUAUGGUCGCAAGGCUGAAACUUAAAGAAAUUGACGGAAGGGCACCACCAGGGGUGGGGCCUGCGGCUUAAUUUGACUCAACACGGGGAAACUCACCAGGUCCAGACAUGAAAAGGAUUGACAGAUUGAGAGCUCUUUCUUGAUUUUAUGGGUGGUGGUGCAUGGCCGUUCUUAGUUGGUGGAGUGAUUUGUCUGCUUAAUUGCGAUAACGAACGAGACCUUAACCUGCUAAAUAGCCCGCGUCGCUUUGGCGGCGCGCCGGCUUCUUAGAGGGACUAUCGGCU
Molecule: ribosomal RNA, 1394 nt
Filed under: Pyricularia oryzae
Lineage: Eukaryota; Fungi; Ascomycota; Sordariomycetes; Magnaporthales; Pyriculariaceae
Description: SSU rRNA
Rfam family: Eukaryotic small subunit ribosomal RNA
Source: RNAcentral